RNAcentral lists this ribosomal RNA (274 nucleotides) under uncultured bacterium. Its description in RNAcentral is "partial 16S ribosomal RNA". It matches the Rfam family "Archaeal small subunit ribosomal RNA", at positions 473 to 747 of the family's 1478-position model. The record is from RNAcentral.
AAACCAGCACCUCAAGUGGUCAGGAUGAUUAUUGGGCCUAAAGCAUCCGUAGCCGGCUCUGUAAGUUUUCGGUUAAAUCUGUACGCUUAACGUACAGGCUGCCGGGAAUACUGCCGAGCUAGGGAGUGGGAGAGGUAGACGGUACUCGGGAGGAAGUGGUAAAAUGCUUUGAUCUUUCGAUGACCACCUGUGGCGAAGGCGGUCUACCAGAACACGUCCGACGGUGAGGGAUGAAAGCUGGGGGAGCAAACCGGAUUAGAAACCCCGGUAGUCC